Molecule: long non-coding RNA, 2361 nt
Organism: Ictalurus punctatus (channel catfish)
Lineage: Eukaryota; Metazoa; Chordata; Actinopteri; Siluriformes; Ictaluridae
Exons: 2
Source: RefSeq, a predicted model, not a curated record
GAAUGGGUUUUACUCGCAGAGGAAGAUUUAAUUCCACACAGACCCACAGUGGAACAACCAACAAGGAAAAGAGUCAGGGAAGAAAAAUGGGAAAUGAAGACAGACAGAUAUUUCACGGUUCAUUAACAGUGCCAGUGUACCCGGCAACUUCAACCAAAAUGCAUCACUAAUGGCACAGCUGAUCAAACAUGAGCAAAAAUUCCUUUCAUUCAAUGGCAUGCGAAAAACUUCCUGACUGUUCUCACAUUCAAGAUUCUAUCAGCUAACUAAACGCUUUCUACGGUUUCUAACCCCAAAUAUGAACAAACGAAUUCCUUCAGUUCAUUCACAUUCAUUUAUCCUGGUCAGGAUGGCAGCGUAUCCGGAGUCCAUCCCAGGAACACUGUGGGUGAGGCGGGAAUACACCUGGGACACCAAACACUCAUUCACAUCGAGGGGCAAUAUAGCGUAGAUGGUAGAUGUUUUGAGGAGGUGGAAGGAAACAUGAGCUCAGGAGCGAACCGGGAACCCUGGAGUUGUGAAGCAGCGAAGCUCCAAUAUAUUACUGCAUGUGAGAGUUAAACAGGUCCAGGGACAUGAUGGAGAACCAAGUAUGUAUGUUUCUCAUGGGUUGAGGAUUUUAAGCCACACAUCUGACCUGAAAUGAAAAUCUUCCACAUUUAAGCAGUGAAGAAGGUGCUUGCGUAUGAAGUUGGAACACAAAGCUGGAAUUUUUAGCCGUAGGAACUGGAAAACUGGACGUAAAUCAUUACACAUUCUCAGAACUUUGCAGGAGUUACUUUUUCUAAAUUUCACAUCUGGUCAGGUAUCAGAGAACAGGUUUGUGGAUAUGAAGAGCUGCAAAGUUCAUCUAAAAUCCACCAGGAGGAGGAAGGAGGAUGGAGGAAGGAUAACUCACAGGACGGCUACAUAUACGCUAGCGGUGAUUGAGAAACAUAAAUGAAACAUGCUAACAGACAGAAAAAAGCUCCUUAUUUCCCCGAAGCUCACUUUUUAAAGGAUUUUUCUGAGCCUGUUUUCUGCUGAUUGAUGACAUAAACAGAAUGUAGUCAGUUUCUAUAAUGGCAGGACUCUCGUUAGGGGAUCUUCAUCAUAUAAUCUGACACGGACGUCACACUCUUUCAUAGUCUGGGAUAGUACAGUCUGAUGAGUAAUGAUCUUAUAAACUCGGCUUAAAACCGAGAGACACAACUUAAUGUAGUAAAAUGAUCUAUUUCUUCCAAACGCAGAGCAUCCAGACAGGAGGAAACAUGUCACUGGGAGAUGUUUAGCUGUAGAAAAGGGAAAACCCUUGUCUGCUUUUCCCACACAUUAACAUUAGGCGUUUUUUUCCCACGACAGCAGCUGAUCGAUUUACCGUCGAUCGUGAGACAGCCUCGUCCCUGGCGCAUGAGUCAGAGCCAGUAAAAAUCCGCGGCGUCUCUGCAUCCUCUGCUGCGAGCCCGCGGUCGGAUCUGUCGUGCAGGAUCUGUGGUCGGAGCAGACCGCCGCCACUUCCUCACGCUCCUGCUCCUGCUCCUGUUCCCGCCCGUGGAUUCCUGCGCUGCAGAUUCCAGGCCUGGCGCUUCCUCCAGCUCAAAUCUGGCUGAGUUUACGAGGAAAAUCCCCAGUUUAUAAUAUAACAGGACGAGGACACAGAGAGACAGAGAGACUGACAUAGAGAGAGAGAGAGAGGGAGAGAGACGAGCCGGUGUAACUGAUCCUUACAUAAACACACAUUAAAAAUGUGUGGGGAAAAAAACGGAGACGGAACGACCCAAAGACAGGCCGCGGAUUAAGUGGAACAAGCAAACAAACAGCGAAAUGAAAGUAUAGGCUUGCACACGCUGUCCACUAGUGUUUUCUCUCCAGGACCUGCGCCAGACCAAAGCCUGCGCUCAUGCCGUAGUAAACCGCUCUCCAACCACACGCUGGAAUUUCUUCUACUUCUCCUUCUUCUGCAUUUCCGAUCGACUGGGUGAACUCACGGUAGCAAGAUUUACAAGAAGCUGCAGGGUGGAAACAUCUGAAGAAGAAGAAGAAGAAGAAGAAGAAGAAGGGAGGAUGAGGCAGAAGAAGCAGGAAGCUCUCAGGCUUUAGUCUCACAGCAUGUUAUUCCAACAUCGAGUGUAAAGGAGGUGUUUUGACCUCAUGGUCAUCAGCCUGAGUUCUGGACUGUGAUUGGUCAGAAGGUGUUGGUUUAUGCUCCAUGACAGCAGCUCUGAUACAUUUGUGGAAGGAGUGUCCAGUUAAAUGUGACUAUAAAAAUACAAAAAAAAAAUUGUAAUCAUUGGCAAUGCAGUGGUAUAAGAGGAAUAAAACACUUGGUGCAUGCUGUUAUAGGAAAAUAAAUAAUAAAUCAGAUUAGUAUAGGUCACAUGA